CCUACGGGCGGCAGCAGUGGGGGAUAUUGGACAAUGGGGGGAACCCUGAUCCAGCGACGCCGCGUGAGUGAAGAAGUAUCUCGGUAUGUAAAGCUCUAUCAGCAGGGAAGAAGAAAUGAGGGUACCUGAGUAAGAAGCCCCGGCUAACUAAGUUCCAGCAGCAGCGGGAAUACGUAGGGGGCAAGCGGUAUCCGGAAUUACUGGGUUGUAAGGGAGCGUAGACGGUGAUGUAAGUGUGGAGUGAAAGGCGGGGGGCCAACCCCCGGACUGCUCUGGAAACUAUGUGACUGGAGUGCAGGAGAGGUGAGCAGAAUUCCUAGUGUAGCGGUGAAAUGCGUAGAUAUUAGGAGGAACACCAGUGGCGAAGGCGGCUCACUGGACUGUAACUGACGUUGAGGCUCGAAAGCGUGGGGAGCAAACAGGAUUAGAUACCCGAGUAGUC
This 442-nucleotide ribosomal RNA is filed under the name uncultured bacterium. Its description in RNAcentral is "partial 16S ribosomal RNA". It matches the Rfam family "Bacterial small subunit ribosomal RNA", at positions 338 to 795 of the family's 1533-position model. The record is from RNAcentral.